GACAGAUUUCUUCUUUGGGCGGCAAUGGGUCGAUUCACUUCCCUAUUUCACUUUGAUUGUACCCCCCGCUCCAAUUGAUUCAACAUGGCGUAGCUAAUAGGGCUUGGUUAAAGUUGGCUUCUCACAUACGCUUUUCUAUACUCUCUCUCUCUCUCUCUCUCAUUCUCACAUAAUCGUUCAUCAUACUCCGAAACCCUAAAUCGCUGAUUCGCCUUCCUUCGCUCUGAUUCUAUCCUGUGUGACGAGGUUUAUUCAAUCUUCAAAUAGUCAAUAGUGAUCAUCAUCGAUGAUUGUAUUGGGAGUUUCAAAGACUGAACUGUUAAUUGCAGAAAACAGAGGCGUUGAAGAACCUUAAGCAUAGAUGAUUCUGAAUACAACGAAAUACAACCGAAGAGUCAGCGGCUCGACUGCUCGAGCAAAGGCGUUGGAGCAUAAAGUUGUCCGAGUUCAUUACGACUGUGUAACACGAAAGACAAGGCGAUUCAAAUGCAUCUUAGGUUUAAUGAGAUGAUCGAUGUGAAGAAAGUCUUCUUAUUAACACACCAUAUGAAGAUUUAAAGAAUCUUGAAAUAGAAUUUCUUGAAAACCCAUGAACAAAGUAGGUAGCGGAGCAUCACCGGAAAUAAGACCUACAAGAGGUUGAAAUAUUGAUGGUAUUGGCUGAAAGCGAUUGUAAUACUCGGGAGAGGAGUUGUAUCGUUACCUUUUAAUGUAACACAAACGUCCAGCUAAAAAAUCUUCAUAGUCGGUGGAUAGCGGUGGUACGCUGGCGUUUCAUGACUACGAAUUGAAAAUUUGUAUUAAGCAACUUUACAGCAACGUUACUUACAAUCGGUGACAGAAGUGUUUCGUGUAUUUUUCUUUAUGAUUUUUACAGUUCUUGAAAUAAGAAACAAACAACAUACUUUGAGAACUAAGAGAGAGGCGUAUGAGACAGCAGCAUGAUAGUGAGGAGGAAGAGUAGACUUCUCAAUUAUUUUCUUUUCCUAGAGUGUUGAAAAAAUACAGUGCCAAAAGGCACUAGAAUAUGCUACUGAGGUUUAUAAGUCUUUUCUUCCAACAACAAGGCUACUGAGUAUGUAUAUUCUAUCUUUUGAUUAUUUGAUAAAAUAACAAAAAUCAAAAGGGCAUUGGAUAUUUGGAGUAGGUGAGUAGCUGGCAUUGCAUUAAAUGAUUAUGUUCCAUUUUGACGUAGUUUUCAUAGUAAUUUAGUUAAAAUAUGAAGACAUGGUCUAGGGUCAAGAUUCGAAGACCAAGAAUGUUAUAAGCUAUUGCAUUUUGACGAACAACUCAUGGGUUCUAGCCACGGUGAACCGCCACUAGGGUUAGCCUUGUGAAAAGUUUGGACUUAUAGCGGCCUAUUUACUUAUGAAUGAGCUGAUUUCAGGUAGGUUUUUAAUCUCAAAUGGGUUUUUUAAUCUUCCAAACAUGUAGAGUUCAGUUAUCUUCUUUCGACUACGGAAACAUUCUUCAUUGUAGUUUACUAAUUGAUUAUUACUUGAACGUUUAUUUAAUUCAAACGAUUACUUGAAUAAAUUAUAGUUAUUCAUUUGUGUUUUAGUCCAUCCGCGAACCUCGCGGGUUCUUAAACUAGUAACUAAUUAAAUGAGUACAUACAAAUGAUAUUAUAUUACUAUGAUAUAUAUUUUCACCAGCAUUAAUAUAUAAUACUUAUCUUAAAUAAUCAUCCACCUAAUUCUUAAAAGUUAAAACCGUUUCAUAUUUCCAUCCCCAAUCGCAUUUUCCCAAUCUUCUUCCACAGGCCUUCAAACGCUCUUCAUCAAAAUAUUUCUACUUUGCCAUUACGUACAUAACUUUUGAUUAUGAUGAUUCAAUUCAUCCAUUAAAUGUUCAUCAUAUUUCCCUUACUUGAAAUUGAAUUUCAAUCUUCAUACUGACUCCCACUCGGCCAAGUUGAAUAUAAAUUGGGGUAUUAUUUACUUUCGAUAUUCUUGCCAUGCAUAUGAUGACGAUUACGUGUUUUUUUUUCUCUCUAUUUUAAUUCAUCCUGAAUUGCAUUGUCAUCGUGUCCCCCAAACGUUUAUCUCUCUAUUAGAAUCACAUUAGUGUAAAUUUCACAUCCAAUAAUCACUGGAUCAAUCAGUCGGUUACAUUGUAUAUUGGCUUAAAUUUCCCCCACAUUGUAA
Molecule: long non-coding RNA, 2147 nt
Organism: Helianthus annuus (common sunflower)
Lineage: Eukaryota; Viridiplantae; Streptophyta; Magnoliopsida; Asterales; Asteraceae
Exons: 7
Source: RefSeq, a predicted model, not a curated record